RNAcentral lists this ribosomal RNA (88 nucleotides) under Salmonella enterica. RNAcentral describes it as "partial 23S ribosomal RNA". It matches the Rfam family "Bacterial large subunit ribosomal RNA", at positions 1 to 88 of the family's 2925-position model. Lineage: Bacteria; Pseudomonadati; Pseudomonadota; Gammaproteobacteria; Enterobacterales; Enterobacteriaceae. The record is from RNAcentral. RNAcentral also lists the same sequence under 5 other names.
GGUUAAGCGACUAAGCGUACACGGUGGAUGCCCUGGCAGUCAGAGGCGAUGAAGGGCGUGCUAAUCUGCGAUAAGCGCCGGUAAGGUG